Molecule: ribosomal RNA, 324 nt
Filed under: uncultured soil bacterium
Lineage: Bacteria
Description: bacterial SSU rRNA
Rfam family: Bacterial small subunit ribosomal RNA
Source: RNAcentral
AGAUUGAACGCUGGCGGCAGGCCUAACACAUGCAAGUCGAGCGGUAGAGAGGUGCUUGCACCUCUUGAGAGCGGCGGACGGGUGAGUAAUGCCUAGGAAUCUGCCUAGUGGUGGGGGAUAACGUUCGGAAACGGACGCUAAUACCGCAUACGUCCUACGGGAGAAAGCGGGGGACCUUCGGGCCUCGCGCCAUUAGAUGAGCCUAGGUCGGAUUAGCUAGUUGGUGAGGUAAUGGCUCACCAAGGCGACGAUCCGUAACUGGUACUGAGAGGAUGAUCAGUCACACUGGAACUGAGACGCGGGUCCAGACUCCUACGGGAGCAG